Podarcis lilfordi (Lilford's wall lizard) is the source of this 75-nucleotide non-coding RNA. The record is from the annotation of a GenBank genome assembly. NCBI's taxonomy places the organism in Eukaryota, Metazoa, Chordata, Lepidosauria, Squamata, Lacertidae.
GAAGGGCCACAGCUUAGUGGUAGAGCAUCCUUUUUGCAUGGCAGAAGGUCCCAGGUUCAAUCCCUGGCAUCUUCA